GACGAACGCUGGCGGCGUGCCUAAUACAUGCAAGUCGAACGCUUCUUUCCUCCCGAGUGCUUGCACUCAAUUGGAAAGCGGAGUGGCGGACGGGGGGGUAACACGUGUGUAACCUACCCUUCAGAGGGGGAUAACACUUGGAAACAGGUGCUAAUACCGCAUAACAGUUUAUGCCGCAUGGCAUAAGGGUGGAAGGCGCUUUCGGGUGUCGCUGAUGGAUGGACCCGCGGUGCAUUAGCUAGUUGGUGAGGUAACGGCUCACCAGGGCGACGAUGCAUCGCCAACCUGGGGGGGGGAUCGGCCACACUGGGACUGAGACACGGCCCAGGCUCCUACGGGAGGCAGCAGUAGGGAAGCGUCGGCAAUGGACGAAAGUCUGACCGAGCAACGCCGCGUGAGUGAAGAAGGGUUUCGGAUCGUAAAACUCUGUUGUUAGAGAAGAACAAGGACGUUAGUAACGGAACGUCCCCUGACGGUAUCUAACCAGAAAGCCACGGCUAACUACGG
This 507-nucleotide ribosomal RNA is filed under the name uncultured bacterium. RNAcentral's name for it is "partial 16S ribosomal RNA". It matches the Rfam family "Bacterial small subunit ribosomal RNA", at positions 28 to 506 of the family's 1533-position model. The record is from RNAcentral.